GCCAGGAUGGCUGAGUGGUCUAAAGCGCCAGGCUCAAGUCCUGGUCUCCCUUUGGAGGCGUGGGUUCAAAUCCCACUCCUGGCA
Non-coding RNA from Alligator mississippiensis (American alligator), 84 nucleotides. NCBI's taxonomy places the organism in Eukaryota, Metazoa, Chordata, Crocodylia, Alligatoridae. The record is from the annotation of a RefSeq genome assembly.